UGUCGCUGUAGCUCCGUCAUAAACUCGCCGUUGAAGUUGCAAACUUAGCUUAGUGCUGGAUAAAUGUUUAAGCAGUUUUAUUCAUUGUUUGGUUGUGAUGGACAGUUGCCAAAUUUUUACCGUUCGUGCGAAAUGUUGUGAUGUUUCUCGAUAUCCCAAUCAUAGCACCUGUGUUAUUCCUGGGCAUCGCAUUCUCCAAGUCCCAACACGUGGUUGGAUCAAAGCAGUAAAGUCAAAGAAAUGAAUAAAUGAUAACUCAAAAGCCCAGGGUGUACAGAACACGCAGGUAGAAGAAAUGUGGAUGGAUGGAUUAUUUUGCCUGCCUUGGAUUUUCGUGGAUUUUCAAUCUUUGUGCUAAAAGCAAGAGGCCUGAAGUCGUGAAGUGUUUCACCUGUGUUAGUGCCAGUCUCUAUGCUGGAAAAGAAUUGGUUGAUGUCAGAAAAUUUGCUUCGAUAUGUCUUUGCCAAGCCAAUGUUACUGAAAAAAUACAGCAAGUCUUUAGCCUUGGAAAUGCAGUGUAUUAAUACUGUCUAUGAAGCGGCUACAUAGUAGGCUUUAACAGAUUUGAAAGGGUAUCCAUACUUACCAGUGCAGAAUAGAUCGGAUUGAACCAAUUCCACAGCUUUUAUUCGCUUUUAUUAAGUUGUCUGCUGCCUUUUUGAAUCUCCUUGUUAAGUUCAGACUUAGAAUGGUCACACUCUUAUUUUGAGGUUAAUCUUGCGCCGCUAUUCCAUGGAUUGAAUCCAUUGGUGGAAACUGACGAGAGAUCAGCAUCACCAUUUUUAAAGAGGGUUAUGGCCCAUGUCCAUUCGUUCCCAAGUUAAAAGCUAGCAAGCAACCACCAACCUUGGUCGAGUCACGAAAAAAGCCAGACAGCCGGCCCGGAAAUAGUCACGCCAAGCCCAAUAAAUAGCUAGCAAGCAAGCACUGUCGUCGGUCGUGCCAAGAACAAAAAGUAGCAAACAAACAACUAUACCAUUGCUGGACGUGACUGUCGUACGAAAUGCCACCUGCGCGUUUCCGUGUCGUAUUUUCCUUCCCUUCACGCGUUUUCAAACAACUCUUCUUUCUUCUAAAAGCAGGAAAGUGAGUAGUUCAAAAAUCCGAAAUACAGACCAGCUGGGAUUUUCUAUAAUCAUCAGAAUUUGAUGGCAGUUAACAUCAUAUGACGAAUGGCCUUGUGGACUAAUCCAGUGGAAGCCGAUGAACGAUUCCACCCCCUGCUUCGUCUAUGAUUCAGUAAACCAAGUUCGGACUGGCCCAGUGGAGUGAGACGGCUACAAGUAGUAAUACUUGGGGAAGUUACCCGGCCAUUUACGUCACAUCGGAUUACAACAUCACCGCGAUGACUCCGACGCAGUUAAAUUGCCGGAAUGGUCACCGGAUAUCCCAUCCAUCUGGUUAAAUUCUACAAAACUAUUUGUUGCUAUUCCAUUCGUUCAGUUGUGUUCGGUUUUACAGGAGGCUAAAUCUUCAUUAGAGUGGUCCUAGUUCACCCCCCAGUCAAUCGGGUUAGACAAAUUGACCUGCAGCCGGUCUUAUCGCAUUUCCGACUUGGACAUUGGUGCAACGUACAAGUAGG
Daphnia pulex (common water flea) is the source of this 1582-nucleotide long non-coding RNA. RefSeq lists it as uncharacterized. The record is from RefSeq and is a predicted model, not a curated record. The transcript has 5 exons. Lineage: Eukaryota; Metazoa; Arthropoda; Branchiopoda; Diplostraca; Daphniidae.